GCGCGGCGGCGAUUACAGACAUUUCGGGGGUCCGGGGCCUGUCGCGACUGCUAAGCGCUCGGCGCCUGGCGCUGGCCAAGGCGUGGCCAACAGUGUUGCAAACAGGAACCCGAGGUUUUCACUUCACUGUUGAAGGAACACGAGGGCAUCUGCUAAAGUUUCAGAUUCCAUUUCUGCUCAGUAUCCAGUAGUGGAUCAUGAAUUUGAUGCAGCGGUGGUAGGCGCUGGAGGGGCAGGCUUGCGAGCUGCAUUUGGCCUUUCUGAGGCAGGGUUUAAUACGGCAUGUGUUACAAAGCUGUUUCCUACCAGGUCACACACUGUUGCAGCGCAGGUUGGAAUCAAUGCUGCUCUGGGGAACAUGGAGGGGGACAACUGGAGAUGGCAUUUCUACGACACCGUGAAGGGCUCCGACUGGCUGGGGGACCAGGAUGCCAUCCAAUACAUGACGGAGCAGGCCCCCACUGCCAUGGUCGAGCUAGAAAAUUAUGGCAUGCCGUUUAACAGCACUGAAGAUGGGAAGAUUUAUCAGCAUGCAUUUGGUGGACAGAGCCUCAGGUUUGGAAAGGGCGGGCAGGCCCAUCGGUGCUGCUGUUUGGCUGAUCGGACCGGCCACUCAAUAUUGCACACCUUAUAUGGGAGGUCUCUUUGAUGUGAUACCAGCUGUUUUGUGGAGUAUUUUGCCUUGGAUCUCCUGAUGGAGAAUGGGGAGUGAUGUGGUGUCAUCGCACUGUGCAUAGAGGACGGGUCCAUCCAUCGCAUAAGAGCAAAGAACACUGUUGUUGCCACAGGGCUGCGGGUGCACCUGCUUCAGCUGCACAUCUGCCCACACCAGCAGCGGCGAUGGCACGGCCAUGAUCACCAGGGAAGGCCUUCCUUGCCAGGACCUCGAGUUUGUUCAGUUCCACCCCACAGGUACAUAUGGUGCUGGUUGUCUCAUUACGGAAGGAUGUCAUGGAGAGGGAGGCAUUCUGAUUAACAGUCAAGGUGAAAGGUUUAUGGAGCGAUACGCCCCCGUCGCGAAGGACCUGGCGUCUAGAGUUGUGGUGUGUCGGUCGAUGACUGGAGAUCCGCGAAGGAAGAGGCUGUGGCCCUGAGAAAGAUCACGUCUACCUGCAGCUGCACCACCUACCUCUAGAGCAGCUGGCCACGCGCCUGCCUGGUAUUUCAGAGACAGCCAUGAUCUUCACUGGCGUGGACGUCACGAAGGAGCCGAUCCAUGUCCUCCCCACCGUGCAUUAUAAUGUGGACGGCAUUCCCACCAGCUACAAGGGGCAGGUCCUGAAGCACGCGAAUGGCCAGGAUCAGAUUGUGACCAGCCUGUACACCUGUGGGGAGGCCGCCUGUGCCUUGGUACAUGGUGCCAACCCCCUCGGGGCAAACUCACUGUUGGACCUGGUUGUCUGGUCAGGCAUGUGCCCUGAGUAUCAAAGAGUCAUGCAGGCCUGGAGAUAAAGUCCCUCCAAUUAAACCAAAUGCUGGGGAAGAAUCUGUCACGAAUCUUGAGAAAUUGAGAUUUGCUGAUGGAAGAAGCAGAAGAACAUGGGAACUGCGACUCAGCAUGCGGAAGUCAAUGCAAAAUCAUGCUGCCAUGUUCCGUGUGGGAAGCGUGUUGCAAGAAGGUUGUGGGAAAAUCAGCAAGCUCUACAGAGACCUGAAACACCUGCAGAUGUUUGACCGGGGAAUGGUCUGGAACACGGACCUGGUGGAGACCCUGGAGCUGCAGAACCUGAUGCUGUGUGUGCUGGAGACCAUCAAUGGAGCAGAGGCGCGGAAGGAGUCAUGGGGCGCGUACGCCAGGGAAGAAUACAAGGUGUGGAUUAAUGAGUACGAUCACUCCAAGCCCAUCCAGGGGCAGCAGAAGAAGCCCUUUGAGGAGCACUGGAGGAAGCACACCCUGUCCUAUGUGGACGUCAGCACUGGGAAGGUCAGUGUGGAGCUUGUUCUCACCGCAGCCCAGCACCCACACAGCCCCGCCCAGGUCUGCGGGCUGGCCUUGCUGAUGGUGAACGGGGAGGAGCAGGCCAGAUUUAAAUCAACUCCUGACAGAUUUGAGGCACCACUGAAAAAGGCACUCUGACAGCAGUCAGGCUUCGGGCUGGAAACAGAAUCCAGUGCCUGCAGGUGAUUCAGAGGAGCCUUAAGGGAAGGGUUGCUCCAUGGUGUGGGCCAGAUGGAAGUCACUGGGCAGGAGCAAGUGUCCAAGGCCUGGUGAUAGGGGAAGAGAUGAUGAUUGUGGACCUGGCGAGAAAGUCAGCAUCUGUGGGGUGGGGACACAGCCACUACCAGAAACCAGUCCUAAGCCAAGGGAGCCCAGAAGAGACCCCUCCCCUCUCCUCCCAUGGGCUGGGCCAACUGGAAGCAUCUGCAGGGGAGCUGAGGGGAUGUGGUACAGCCCUUAGCAUCCCCUGGGCACUGAGCAAGUAGAGAAGGGCAGAAAUGGAGGCGGGGUUGGGGUGAGCAGCGUCCUGGGAACAGCCAGCUGAGGGUGUGGUAGGGGGGUUGCAGCCUUGUUCCACACAAGCACAGUUCACCCGUGUGGCAUUUCCGCUGGGCAUUAAGAUUCAGAAAUAAUGAAGAUAGAAAGCUUUUACCCUUAAGCUUUUCUUAGCUUGUAAGAGAGAGUCGUAUAAUCACUUAGCUGUGUCUGUGGAAGUUACCUUUGGACUCUCACUAUCAUCUAGUUUGUCUGUGAUUCAGGCAGUAGGUCAUUUUCAGGAUUUAUCAUGAAGACCAUUUCCUGGUAGUGUAUAGAAAUCACACUUCACUCGCUUAGCACAAGUCUAUUUUUAAUGUUUCCAGGUUCGGGUUUUUUGUUUUGUUUUUGUUUUUCUGAGAUAGAGUCUUAUCUCUGUUGCCCAGGCUGAAAUGUGGUGGCUCGAUCUCGUCUCACUGCAGCCUCAACCUCCCCCCGGCUCAGGUGAUCCUCCCACCUCAGCCUCCCGGGCACAUGCCACCAUGCCACCAUGCCUGGCUAAUUUUUGUAUGUUUCGUAGAGAUGGGGUUUUGCCACGUUGCCCAGGCUAGUCUUGAACUGCUGAGCUCAAGUGAUCCACGUGUCUUGGCCUCCCCAACAGGCAUGAACCAACACGCCCAGCCAGUUUCAGUGAUUUUUCAAGAAAUACAUACUCAUUUUAGAAAGUACAAAGAGAUUGAAAUAAGAGCUCACUAACCAGAGAUGACCCAUUAUGGUUUAAAUUUCUUUGUGUAUGGGCCUGCCUUUUCCUGUGUGUGCAUAUUUAAUAUACAGCUUGAGUAUUCCUUCUCUGAAACCCUUGGGACCAGAAGUGUUUUGGAUUUCAGGCUUGUUCAGACUUUGGAAUGUUUGCAUUAUACUUACUGUCUGAGCAUCCCUAAUCGGAAGAUCUGACUCCCUAGCACAUUUGUUUUGAAUGUCAUGCUGGUGCUCAGAAAAUUUCAUAUUUGGGAGAAUUUCAGAUGUUUGGAUUAGGGAUGUUCAACCUGUAUAAAUACUUACUUUGAAGUAGAAAAACUGGAAGUAGAUGGUUUAAACAUCAAGUGUGUUGGUAUAGACAAGUGUUCUCCCACUUUUCGUGAUGGGAGUGUUUUUGUAAAGCACUGAGAAUCUGGUACAGUGUCAUUUUCAUUGUUCCGUUCCACUCUACGGAUCUGCCGUCAUUUACAGUCCCCUGUUGCGCAUGUAGAUCAUUUCUGAAUUUGUUACUGGAAAAUACUGCGGCAAAUACCUUAAAGUUCACAUGCCGUAAAUCUACUUUUAUAGUAAAAAAUUUUCAAAAGGAACACAAGAGAUGGCUUUUUGUACAUUUUUGUGCUUACCUUACCCCUGACUCUUCUUUUCAAGGUCACCCUGGAAUAUAGACCCGUAAUUGACAAAACUUUGAAUGAGGCUGACUGUGCCGCCAUCCCCCCAGCCAUUCACUCCUGCUGAUGAGACAAGAUGCGGUGAUGACAGAAUCAGCUUUUGUAAUUAUGUAUAAUAACUCAUGUAUGUGUCCAUGUCAUAAGUGUCUUCAUACGCUUCUGCACUCCAGGGAAGAAGGAGUACAUUGAGGGGAGAUUGGCACCCAGUGGCCGGGAGCUUGCCAGGAACCCAGUGGCCAGGGAGCGUGGCACUUACCUUUGUCCCUUGCUUCAUUCUUGUGACAUGAUAAAACUGGGCACAGCUCUUAAAUAAAAUAUAAAUGAACAAA
This 4169-nucleotide long non-coding RNA is filed under the name Pongo abelii (Sumatran orangutan). Its description in RNAcentral is "lincRNA". Lineage: Eukaryota; Metazoa; Chordata; Mammalia; Primates; Hominidae. The record is from RNAcentral.